AGUGAACGCUGGCGGUAGGCCUAACACAUGCAAGUCGAACGGCAGCACAGUAAGAGCUUGCUCUUACGGGUGGCGAGUGGCGGACGGGUGAGGAAUACAUCGGAAUCUACUUUUUCGUGGGGGAUAACGUAGGGAAACUUACGCUAAUACCGCAUACGACCUACGGGUGAAAGCAGGGGAUCUUCGGACCUUGCGCGAUUGAAUGAGCCGAUGUCGGAUUAGCUAGUUGGCGGGGUAAAGGCCCACCAAGGCGACGAUCCGUAGCUGGUCUGAGAGGAUGAUCGGCCACACUGGAGCUGAGACACGGUCCAGACUCCUACGGGAGGCAGCAGUGGGGAAUAUUGGACAAUGGGCGCAAGCCUGAUCCAGCCAUACCGCGUGGGUGAAGAAGGCCUUCGGGUUGUAAAGCCCUUUUGUUGGGAAAGAAAAGCAGCAGGUUAAUACCCCGCUGUUCUGACGGUACCCAAAGAAUAAGCACCGGCUAACUUCGUG
RNAcentral lists this ribosomal RNA (492 nucleotides) under uncultured bacterium. RNAcentral describes it as "partial 16S ribosomal RNA". It matches the Rfam family "Bacterial small subunit ribosomal RNA", at positions 29 to 507 of the family's 1533-position model. The record is from RNAcentral.